UGGGGAGCAAACAGGAUUAGAUACCCUGGUAGUCCACGCUGUAAACGAUGAAUGUUAAAUAUGGGAAGUUUUACUUUCUGUAUUACAGCUAACGCGUUAAACAUUCCGCCUGGGGACUACGGUCGCAAGAUUAAAACUCAAAGGAAUUGACGGGGACCCGCACAAGCGGUGGAGCAUGUGGUUUAAUUCGAUGCAACGCGAAAAACCUUACCACUCCUUGACAUGGAAAUUAUACCUAUUCGAAGGGAUAGGGUCGGUUCGGCCGGGUUUCACACAGGUGUUGCAUGGCUGUCGUCAGCUCGUGUCGUGAGAUGUUGGGUUAAGUCCCGCAACGAGCGCAACCCUCAUCCUUAGUUACCAUCAGGUAAUGCUGGGGACUUUAAGGAAACUGCCAGUGAUAAACUGGAGGAAGGUGGGGAUGAUGUCAAGUCAUCAUGGCCCUUAUGGAGUGGGCUACACACGUGCUACAAUGGUGGCUACAAUGGGCUGCAAAGUCGCGAGGCUAAGCUAAUCCCUUAAAAGCCAUCUCAGUUCGGAUUGUACUCUGCAACUCGAGUGCAUGAAGUUGGAAUCGCUAGUAAUCGUGGAUCAGCACGCCACGGUGAAUACGUUCUCGGGUCUUGUACACACUGCCCGUCACGCCAUGGGAAUUGGUUUCACUCGAAGCUAACGACCUAACCGCAAGGAGGGAGUUAUUUAAAGUGGGAUCGGUGACUGGGGUGAAGUCGUAACAAGGUAGCAGUAGGGGAAUCUGCAGCUGGAUUACCUCCUUA
RNAcentral lists this ribosomal RNA (773 nucleotides) under Wolbachia sp. wRi_2. RNAcentral's name for it is "bacterial SSU rRNA". It matches the Rfam family "Bacterial small subunit ribosomal RNA", at positions 762 to 1533 of the family's 1533-position model. The record is from RNAcentral. Lineage: Bacteria; Pseudomonadati; Pseudomonadota; Alphaproteobacteria; Rickettsiales; Anaplasmataceae.